AAUAACUGCUGCUGUGAAGAGAACAACUCUCACACUGAAUGUUGAACAGCAGCUAGUUUCUCCUGUUCAUUUAAACCUUGUUGCAGAGAUGGAACAUCGGCUGUGGAUUAUUCUUGCUGCUCUGUUCUGUGAGUGUAAAGGAGCAGACAGAGUGAUCCAGCCAACAGGAGAUGUCACUGCUGCUGAAGGAGACACAGUUACACUGGACUGCACAUUUGAGACCAGUGACACAUUUCCCUAUUUGUUCUGGUACAAACAAGAAGUAAACGACUUCCCAAAGUACAUUCUGAAAUGUUCCUCACUAACAGUAGAACAUGCUGCUGACUUUAAGAAAGACAGAUUUAAUGCUACAAUCAUCAACAAGUCAGUUCCUCUGAAGAUCCAGAAGCUUCAGCUGUCUGACUCUGCUGUGUACUACUGUGCUCUGCGGCCCACAGUGACAGGAAACAUCAAAACUCUGUACAAAAACCUUUGGAGCAAAGACAACACAAUACUCCACAACAUCCACUAGAGGGAGUCACACACUGUUAAACUGCAGCUGGAUGGUCUAUGACAUUUACCAUCUGUGGACUCAAAAACUCACAAACACAAAAGAGUUGAACUGAUGAAUUCUCUGUGUGAGAUCAUUGCGCUACACGACAGUUUGACCCAGAAGACAAAUAGGAGGAUAAAAUGAUCACUGAUUACUUUAAGUGACAAAUGAUGUGUUUCUCUGUAUGUUAGCUGUGUUCAUCAGUAACACAUAAUUGUUGAUCUAAUAUUUAAUAUAUUCAUUUCCAACAGGAACAAAAACAUUCAUCAGUGGGUGGAAGAACUCCUUUUAAAAUAAGAGACAUUGUGUGUUAUUUAAGUCUGAGCAGAAACUAGAGCUGACCAAAAGUCAGUAUUCAGACACUCAGUCUGUUUUUUCAGUUCAAUUCAAUUCAAACAACUUUAUUAAUCCCCGCAGGGCAAUUCAGUUUGCAGCCUCAGUGAGCAAGGUAACGUCGCCCUGAGGGCAUCAAACAGAAUUCCUGACCCAGGAUGUGGUCUGGAUGACUAAAGAUCUUUCUGGUUUUCUGGGUAACUCGUUUGUUCCAGAUGGAGCUUAAGUCUGUAAACUGAAUUCCAAUGAUCUUGGAACAGACUUUGAUAAUGCUGCUAACACAGUUCUUCUCCUUCACAGAUAGACCAUAAAACCAACAAGUAAAAG
Molecule: non-coding RNA, 1192 nt
Organism: Acanthopagrus latus (yellowfin seabream)
Lineage: Eukaryota; Metazoa; Chordata; Actinopteri; Spariformes; Sparidae
Source: the annotation of a RefSeq genome assembly